AUACGGAGGGUGCAAGCGUUAAUCGGAAUUACUGGGCGUAAAGCGCGCGUAGGCGGUUAUUUAAGUCAGAUGUGAAAGCCCCGGGCUCAACCUGGGAACUGCAUUUGAAACUGGCUGACUAGAGUCUAGGAGAGGGGGGUAGAAUUCCGGGUGUAGCGGUGAAAUGCGUAGAUAUCCGGAGGAAUACCAGUGGCGAAGGCGGCCCCCUGGACUAAGACUGACGCUGAGGUGCGAAAGCGUGGGGAGCAAACAGAAUUAGAAACCCCGGUAGUCC
RNAcentral lists this ribosomal RNA (274 nucleotides) under uncultured bacterium. RNAcentral describes it as "partial 16S ribosomal RNA". It matches the Rfam family "Bacterial small subunit ribosomal RNA", at positions 523 to 796 of the family's 1533-position model. The record is from RNAcentral.